CUAACACAUGCAAGUCGAGCGGUAGCAUGGUUAGUAGCAAUACUAACUGAUGACGAGCGGCGGACGGGUGAGGAACACGUAGGAACCUGCCCAAGAGAGGGGGAUAACUAAGGGAAACUUUAGCUAAUACCGCAUAAUUCUCUGAGGAGAAAAGUUGCCCGUAAGGGUAGCGCUUUUGGAGGGGCCUGCGUCCGAUUAGUUAGUUGGUGAGGUAAUGGCUCACCAAGACUGUGAUCGGUAACUGGUCUGAGAGGACGACCAGUCACACUGGGACUGAGACACGGCCCAGACUCCUACGGGAGGCAGCAGUGGGGAAUCUUGGACAAUGGGGGCAACCCUGAUCCAGCGAUGCCGCGUGGGUGAAGAAGGCCUUCGGGUUGUAAAGCCCUUUAGGCUGGGAAGAAGUUUAUGGGAUGAAUAAUCCUGUAAAUUGACGGUGCCAGCAGAAUAAGCACCGGCAAACUCUGUGCCAGCAGCAGCCGCGG
RNAcentral lists this ribosomal RNA (485 nucleotides) under uncultured bacterium. RNAcentral's name for it is "partial 16S ribosomal RNA". It matches the Rfam family "Bacterial small subunit ribosomal RNA", at positions 48 to 523 of the family's 1533-position model. The record is from RNAcentral.